This 468-nucleotide ribosomal RNA is filed under the name uncultured bacterium. RNAcentral describes it as "partial 16S ribosomal RNA". It matches the Rfam family "Bacterial small subunit ribosomal RNA", at positions 28 to 523 of the family's 1533-position model. The record is from RNAcentral.
GAUGAACGCUGGCGGCGUGCCUAACACAUGCAAGUCGAGCGAUUCUCUUCGGAGAAGAGCGGCGGACGGGUGAGUAACGCGUGGGUAACCUGCCCUGUACACACGGAUAACAUACCGAAAGGUAUGCUAAUACGAGAUAAUAUGCUUUUAUCGCAUGGUAGAAGUAUCAAAGCUUCGGCGGUACAGGAUGGACCCGCGUCUGAUUAGCUAGUUGGUAAGGGAACGGCUUACCAAGGCGACGAUCAGUAGCCGACCUGAGAGGGUGAUCGGCCAAAUUGGAACUGAGACACGGUCCAAACUCCUACGGGAGGCAGCAGUGGGGAAUAUUGCACAAUGGGCGAAAGCCUGAUGCAGCAACGCCGCGUGAGCGAUGAAGGCCUUCGGGUCGUAAAGCUCUGUCCUCAAGGAAGAUAAUGACGGUACUUGAGGAGGAAGCCCCGUCUAACUACGUGCCAGCCGCCGCGGUAA